Molecule: transfer RNA, 76 nt
Filed under: Solobacterium moorei
Lineage: Bacteria; Bacillati; Bacillota; Erysipelotrichia; Erysipelotrichales; Erysipelotrichaceae
Also listed under: 6 other names
Description: tRNA-Asn(gtt)
Rfam family: tRNA
About the family: Transfer RNA (tRNA) molecules are approximately 80 nucleotides in length.
Source: RNAcentral
GCCUUAAUAGCUCAGUCGGCAGAGCGAGCGGCUGUUAACCGCUAGGUCACAGGUUCGAGCCCUGUUUAAGGCGCCA